AUCGGUAAAACACAAAAAAAUGAUUAGUUAAAUAUUUUAUAAUAAUAUUAACGUUCGAGCAAAAUGUCGUUGCGAGUUAAACUGUCUCUCGUUGUACAGUAGUUUUAGGGCACCUACGAACUGUGUGCCGUCGGGAUAAAGAUGGUGUACGUACCAAAUAACACUGCAAAGCCUGUACCUUCCUUGUAGGGUUCGGUUGGUGCACCGUUCGCGAAAAAAUUAGCAUAUCGAGCACCAUGCAACAAGUCGAGCGGUCGAAAAUUAUCGCCUAUCAUCGCGGACGUUUCACACACGGGGUCUCGCCGACGUGCACUACCACCACCAUCACCACAGAUACCACUCGUAACCCGCAACGGACGACCACGUCCAGCAGCAGCGGGACCGCAACGGCGGCGGUGGCGACGGCGCACGGCGCUCUGAGCGGGUCCUCCUUUGGCGACGGCAAUGACGAUUCGACGCGAUGACGACUACAGGCUGACGACAAAGAAACACGCGCGGCCAUGACUUUCGACGACUCGGCGUGACGGUGGCGAGCAGGUGGCCCCCUCGCGGAAUUUAUAAUCGGGCUCCGAAUUCGAUGUUGAACGUUUCCCGGAGCAGAGCUCACAGGCCCUGCGUUUCGGGACGAUAGAAAAAAUACCGAAAUCGGCACACAGACACCGCGUGCCGACAAUCACAAUUUUAAAUAAUAUAAUUAUUGUUCGCAGCAAUGCCCACUUGUUGGGCUCGGAGUCUCGAAUCGAUGAAAACCGUACGCGUCGACGACCACUGUAGUACUGUAUUAUUGUGUAUUAGUGUUACUCGAUUACUGUAUCAAUGAUAAACGGUGGAGAACAAAACAAAAAUAUUACGCGAUCGUCAACAAUGU
Acyrthosiphon pisum (pea aphid) is the source of this 868-nucleotide long non-coding RNA. RefSeq lists it as uncharacterized. The record is from RefSeq and is a predicted model, not a curated record. Lineage: Eukaryota; Metazoa; Arthropoda; Insecta; Hemiptera; Aphididae. The transcript has 2 exons.